GCUUCAUGGCUUAGUUGGUUAAGCAUCUGACUUCGGCUCAGAGCAUGAUCUCGCAGUUUGUGGGUUCGAGCCCCACAUCAGGCU
RNAcentral lists this transfer RNA (84 nucleotides) under Felis catus (domestic cat). It matches the Rfam family "tRNA". Rfam says of the family: Transfer RNA (tRNA) molecules are approximately 80 nucleotides in length. Their secondary structure includes four short double-helical elements and three loops (D, anti-codon, and T loops). Further hydrogen bonds mediate the characteristic L-shaped molecular structure. tRNAs have two regions of fundamental functional importance: the anti-codon, which is responsible for specific mRNA codon recognition, and the 3' end, to which the tRNAs corresponding amino acid is attached (by aminoacyl-tRNA synthetases). tRNAs cope with the degeneracy of the genetic code in two manners: having more than one tRNA (with a specific anti-codon) for a particular amino acid; and 'wobble' base-pairing, i.e. permitting non-standard base-pairing at the 3rd anti-codon position. The record is from Rfam by way of RNAcentral. Lineage: Eukaryota; Metazoa; Chordata; Mammalia; Carnivora; Felidae.